UGCCAGCAGCCGCGGUAAUACGGAGGGUGCAAGCGUUAAUCGGAAUUACUGGGCGUAAAGCGUGCGUAGGCGGUGAUUUAAGUCAGAUGUGAAAGCCCCGGGCUUAACCUGGGAACGGCAUUUGAUACUGGGUCACUUGAGUGUGGUAGAGGAGAGCGGAAUUUCCGGUGUAGCGGUGAAAUGCGUAGAUAUCGGAAGGAACACCAGUGGCGAAGGCGGCUCUCUGGACCAACACUGACGCUGAGGUACGAAAGCGUGGGUAGCAAACAGGAUUAGAUACCCUGGUAGUCCACGCCGUAAACGAUGUCAACUAGCCGUUGGGCCUUUCAAAAGGCUUCGUGGCGCAGCUAACGCAAUAAGUUGACCGCCUGGGGAGUACGGCCGCAAGGUUAAAACUCAAAUGAAUUGACGGGGGCCCGCACA
This 423-nucleotide ribosomal RNA is filed under the name uncultured bacterium. RNAcentral describes it as "bacterial SSU rRNA". It matches the Rfam family "Bacterial small subunit ribosomal RNA", at positions 506 to 927 of the family's 1533-position model. The record is from RNAcentral.